This 433-nucleotide ribosomal RNA is filed under the name uncultured bacterium. RNAcentral describes it as "partial 16S ribosomal RNA". It matches the Rfam family "Bacterial small subunit ribosomal RNA", at positions 29 to 507 of the family's 1533-position model. The record is from RNAcentral.
AACGAACGCUGGCGGCAGGCCUAACACAUGCAAGUCGAGCGAGACCUUCGGGGUUAGCGGCGGACGGGUGCGUAACGCGUGGGAACGUGCCCUUCUCUGCGGAAUAGCCUCGGGAAACUGAGAGUAAUACCGCAUACGCCCUUUGGGGGAAAGAUUUAUCGGAGAAGGAUCGGCCCGCGUUGGAUUAGGUAGUUGGUGGGGUAAUGGCCCACCAAGCCGACGAUCCAUAGCUGGUUUGAGAGGAUGAUCAGCCACCCUGGGACUGAGACACGGCCCAGACUCCUACGGGAGGCAGCAGUGGGGAAUCUUAGACAAUGGGGGCAACCCUGAUCUAGCCAUGCCGCGUGAGUGAUGAAGGCCUUAGGGUUGUAAAGCUCUUUUAGCUGGGAAGAUAAUGACGGUACCGGCAGAAGAAGCCCCGGCUAACUCCGUG